This 253-nucleotide ribosomal RNA is filed under the name uncultured bacterium. RNAcentral's name for it is "partial 16S ribosomal RNA". It matches the Rfam family "Bacterial small subunit ribosomal RNA", at positions 524 to 776 of the family's 1533-position model. The record is from RNAcentral.
GACGAGCCUCACGAACGUUAUUCGGAAUUACUGGGCUUAAAGGGCGCGUAGGCGGCCAUCUAAGUCAGACGUGAAAUCCCCCGGCUUAACCUGGGAACUGCGUCUGAUACUGGAAGGCUUGAGUAUGGGAGAGGGAUGUAGAAUUCCAGGUGUAGCGGUGAAAUGCGUAGAUAUCUGGAGGAAUACCGGUGGCGAAGGCGGCAUCCUGGACCAUUACUGACGCUGAGGCGCGAAAGCUAGGGGAGCAAACGGG